This is a ribosomal RNA of Cavia aperea (Brazilian guinea pig), 110 nucleotides long. Lineage: Eukaryota; Metazoa; Chordata; Mammalia; Rodentia; Caviidae. The record is from Ensembl.
UAGGGCCAUACCACCGUGAAAGCACCCGACCUCGUCUGAUCUCGGAAGCUAAGCAGCGUCGGGCCUGGUUCAUACUUGGAUGCGAGACAGCGACUUGGCCAUCCAUCUGU